GGGAAUGUGGCUUAGUGGUAGAGUGCUUGCCCAGCAUGCAUGAAGCCCUGGGUUCGAUUCCUCAGUACCA
Molecule: non-coding RNA, 70 nt
Organism: Dipodomys ordii (Ord's kangaroo rat)
Lineage: Eukaryota; Metazoa; Chordata; Mammalia; Rodentia; Heteromyidae
Source: Rfam